Molecule: unclassified non-coding RNA, 205 nt
Filed under: uncultured fungus
Lineage: Eukaryota; Fungi
Description: sequence contains ITS1
Source: RNAcentral
AUAUUAAUAUGUGUUCAACACCGUACGAUGACAGGUUUUGUGUGGUGAAAAAAGAAGACGUAGGAGACCAAAGGCCUGCCACAACAGAAUCCGAGGUUCGCAUCGAAUACUGAUGGCGGACCAUUUGAAUGGUCGACUACAAUAAGUUGCACACUGAGGCGCACGACAUUCGGUAAUGAUCCUUCCGCAGGUUCACCUACGGAAA